CCUGUGAAAGAAGAUGAGAUUGUCAUCUAUAUGUUUACUAGUCUAGAAUCUGUUUAUGAUCCACUUGUAACUGCUAUUAUGACAAGAUCGGAUCCCAUCAGGCUCACAAAUUUGUACUCACAAAUGCUCAGCUUUGAGA
Small nucleolar RNA from Phragmites australis (common reed), 139 nucleotides. RefSeq annotates it as small nucleolar RNA Z247. Lineage: Eukaryota; Viridiplantae; Streptophyta; Magnoliopsida; Poales; Poaceae. The transcript has a single exon. The record is from RefSeq and is a predicted model, not a curated record.